GGUCUUGCUUUGUCACCCAGGCUGGAGUAUAGUGGCAUGAUCAUGGUUCACUGCAGCCUUGACCUCCUGGGCUCAAGUGAUCCUCCCAUCUCAGCCUUCUGAGUCUCUAGGACCACAGGUGAUUCUGACAUGCAAACAAGCCUCUGGGCCAAAGUUCCUGUGUCCAAGGAUUAAAAAAAAAAAAUGGAGCAUAAGUCUGAGGCUGUGAACGAGGCUCCUCCUGCCCUCUGGAGCUUGCUGGAAGGAAACACAGCCCAAGAAGUGGACGAAAGAGUUGUUCCAACAACUGCCUACAAGAUGAACUGCUUCCAAAUGAUGAUAGAGGAAAAACUUUCAAGCUGAUAACAUCACAUCAUAGCCCAUGCCAGUCAAAAUUUUUCAACAGGAAGAGUGAAGAAUAGAGAAAAGGUCAAAAGACUGUCUUACUUCACAAAUUUCUGUAGGUCUAGCUUAAUUCAGGAGUGGACUUUAGAGUAUCUGAAGGGGAGGAUGAAACGGAUAGAUUUCAUGCACCUUUGAAAAUAAUUUUUUUUCCACUAAAUUGUGUUUU
RNAcentral lists this non-coding RNA (550 nucleotides) under Pongo abelii (Sumatran orangutan). The record is from RNAcentral. Lineage: Eukaryota; Metazoa; Chordata; Mammalia; Primates; Hominidae.